UCAACGAGUGCGCCAGGCACGUAAACGGUUAUACCGGUGUGCGGUGUAUGCCUGAACGUCGGUGUCUGUGUAUGCGUGUCAUCUUUGUGGCAUCACACGUCAACUACACUGAACGCAUACACCUGCAGCACCUUUGGGACUAAUGACACAAAGGUCAAGGCCAGCCUGGCGACCAUGCUUGCCAAGGAGUAGUGUAAAUAUGUAAUCUGUUUCCAUAAUUAGCAUAAGACAUGAAUUUAAGGAAUUCAUAUAUUAUAUCGAGCAAUAAAAACGGUUAAUGCAUUGCC
Non-coding RNA from Dermacentor andersoni, 287 nucleotides. The record is from RefSeq and is a predicted model, not a curated record. Lineage: Eukaryota; Metazoa; Arthropoda; Arachnida; Ixodida; Ixodidae.